AUGAACGCUGGCGGCGUGCCUAAUACCUGCAAGUCGCGCGAACAGACGAGGAGCUUGCUCCUCUGACGUUAGCGGCGGACGGGUGAGUAACACGUGGAUAACCUACCUAUAAGACUGGGAUAACUUCGGGAAACCGGAGCUAAUACCGGAUAAUAUAUCGAACCGCAUGGUUCAAUAGUGAAAGACGGUUUUGCUGUCACUUAUAGAUGGAUCCGCGCCGCAUUAGCUAGUUGGUAAGGUAACGGCUUACCAAGGCAACGAUGCGUAGCCGACCUGAGAGGGUGAUCGGCCACACUGGAACUGAGACACGGUCCAGACUCCACGGGAGGCAGCAGUAGGGAAUCUUCCGCAAUGGGCGAAAGCCUGACGGAGCAACGCCGCGUGAGUGAUGAAGGUCUUCGGAUCGUAAAACUCUGUUAUUAGGGAAGAACAAAUGUGUAAGUAACUAUGCACGUCUUGACGGUACCUAAUCAGAAAGCCACGGCUAACUACGUG
This 495-nucleotide ribosomal RNA is filed under the name uncultured bacterium. RNAcentral's name for it is "partial 16S ribosomal RNA". It matches the Rfam family "Bacterial small subunit ribosomal RNA", at positions 29 to 507 of the family's 1533-position model. The record is from RNAcentral.